UUCAGCCAUUAUAUUGAAAAUACUCCCUGCCCAGUGACAUAUUGUUCAACGGCCGCGGUAUCCUGACCGUGCAAAGGUAGCAUAAUCAUUUGCCUUUUAAUUGGAGGCUAGUAUGAAUGGACAAACGAGAAUUUAACUGUCCCCUUUUCACUUAUAAAAAUUAAGCUUCAGGUGAAGACGCCUGAAUAACUUAGAAAGACAAGAAGACCCUAUAGAGUUUUAAUAAUAAUAAUUCUCUUUAAUUCUAUUUAUUUUGAUUGGGGCGAUCAUGGAUUACUAAAAACAUCCAUUACUUUUAUAGAAUCCUUAUUCAUAAAUCAUGACCCUUUUUAAGACCAAACGAAUAAACUACCUUAGGGAUAACAGGCUUAUCUUCCUAAAGAGCCCAAAUUGAAAGGAAGGUUUGGCACCUCGAUGUUGGCUUAGAGAAACCUAUAAAUGCAGAAGUUUAUACUGGUUAGUUUGUUCAACUAUUAAAUCUCU
Molecule: ribosomal RNA, 483 nt
Filed under: Drieschia cf. elegans BG-2021
Lineage: Eukaryota; Metazoa; Annelida; Polychaeta; Phyllodocida; Polynoidae
Description: partial large subunit ribosomal RNA
Rfam family: Bacterial large subunit ribosomal RNA
Source: RNAcentral